Molecule: ribosomal RNA, 252 nt
Filed under: uncultured bacterium
Lineage: Bacteria
Description: partial 16S ribosomal RNA
Rfam family: Bacterial small subunit ribosomal RNA
Source: RNAcentral
GACCUACGGGAGGCAGCAGUAGGGAAUUUUCGGCAAUGGGGGAAACCCUGACCGAGCAACGCCGCGUGAAGGAAGAAGGUUUUCGGAUUGUAAACUUCUGUUAUAAAGGAAGAACGGCGGCUACAGGAAAUGGUAGCCGAGUGACGGUACUUUAUUAGAAAGCCACGGCUAACUACGUGCCAGCAGCCGCGGUAAUACGUAGGUGGCAAGCGUUAUCCGGAAUUAUUGGGCGUAAAGAGGGAGCAGGCGGCA